Molecule: ribosomal RNA, 253 nt
Filed under: uncultured bacterium
Lineage: Bacteria
Description: partial 16S ribosomal RNA
Rfam family: Bacterial small subunit ribosomal RNA
Source: RNAcentral
UACGAAGGGGGCUAGCGUUGCUCGGAAUUACUGGGCGUAAAGGGCGCGUAGGCGGCCAGUUUAGUCAGAGGUGAAAGCCCAGGGCUCAACCUUGGAAUUGCCUUUGAUACUGGCUGUCUUGAGUUCGGGAGAGGUGAGUGGAAUGCCGAGUGUAGAGGUGAAAUUCGUAGAUAUUCGGCGGAACACCAGUGGCGAAGGCGACUCACUGGCCCGAUACUGACGCUGAGGCGCGAAAGCGUGGGGAGCGAACAGG